UGAGCAAGGGAGGUCAUUCGCAAUUCUGUCACUCCUAAAUUUGUCUGAACCUUUUUGGAAGGCAUUUGUAUUUCCUGCCAGCACCACCUCUUGGGGGUGAUGAAUUCCAAUAAGUUUCAAUCCGUUUAUUACUCACUGUGAGAGAAAUUGCUUCCUUUUAUGUCUGGAACUAAACCUGGAUCACAUUUCACAGGAUAUCCCCUAGUCACAGAGUUUUGGAAUCUGACCUGGAGGCAAAGGUAUGGAUGAGAUCACAUAGCAAGGAGAUUGCUGCUGAGAAGGAGUCAAAGCCUGGGUUUUACUUGUGGCCUUGCUGCUACACCAACUUUACUGACAUGCCAUUCUGGGAUAGUCUUUUCUCUCUGAGGCUUCAAGAGAAGAUGAGAAUACAUUCCAUCCCUACCUCUUGGAGUCAUUGUGAGGACUCAGAUGAAGUGCAGCAUCACGCAACAGAACUCAGAUGCCCUCACUGCAUCUCAAAUGCACUCAGGCUGCCAUGCUGUGAGCUGCCCUAUGGAGAAGUCCACAUGGCAAGGAACUGAGGGAUACCUUCAGCCAACAGCCAAUGAGGAACUGAUGCUCCCAGAGAACAGCCUGUAGGAAACUAAUUCCUGCUAACAACCUUCAGAUGACUGCAGGUCUGGCUGGCAACUCAACUGAAGCCUGAGAGAGAUCCUGAAGCAGCGGGUGCAGCUAAGCCUCUGCUGGAUUCCCAUUAGACAGAAACUGCUACACCCUGCAAGGUCAUUAUCAUUAGCUGCACUUUACAGGAGAGGAAGCUGAGGCUCAGAGAAGCAAACUGCCCUCCUACUUAUGUUGAAGACUUUCCCAUCCUAUGAGCCCAGGUGGGAGAAGCUGAAAAUGGCAGAAGGUCACUUUUCCAGCUGCCCUGUGCCUGGUGAGCCUGUGACACAGACCCCGUUGCUCACAUAUCCACCCAGUUUGGUGCCAUAGGUGGUAGCACUUCAGGGCCAAGGAGUUUGAAGAAGUCCAAGGUAGAGCUUUCUGGAAAAUCCUCUGGAGAGGUUGAUCAGAAACCUUCUCCCACAUAAACAAAGGACCCAGGAAGAAGCUAAAAAUGGGCCAUGAGAUUGUCUUUAUUCAUCAAGCCUGAAGUUUUCUGACUCUAUCUUUCUUUUCCCGUGGCCACUGUUACCUCUCCAGAACAGACCCCAUCACCUGAAUUCUGCCUGAGCCUCGACAGAUAUGCUCAGCUGCUCUCCCAUGCUGGCUGUUGUUACCCCAACCCACUUAAAAUUCCUUGAGGUCUUAGAAGCUCUCUCCCACCAAGGUGCCGAAAGAAGUAUUUCACAGGUUCUCAGUGACAAUUGUUUAUUGAAAUUUACACUGAUGAGAAGUGGUCCCUAUUAAGGGAAUUCAAUCCAAGGAGAUUGGCUCUAUACUUUGAACCGCUGUGGCCAAAUAAAUAGAUGACUGCUUGCUGCAAUUAUAUUGCUGUGGUCUUUGUAUAAAUAGAUUACCAAGAAUAGGACUCCACACAUCUAUCACCUUGGAAAGCUGAUUUGUAUAAUCUGGACAGGUGGCAAGGAAACGUAACUGUCUGCUCAAGGGAGAGCCUGCCUGGGGCAGAGGAAGAGAGUCUGAGUAGCAUCCCAGUUAAGUGCUCAAGCCCUGAGGUCAGGCUGCCUGCAUUUGAAUCCUGAUUCUGCCACCAAUUUUCUAAGUGGCAUGGCAAUGUUCUUAAACUUCCCUUUGUGUCAUAGUAAGCAACCGAAAAAUGGUGCUGAGGAUAGAGAACUCCAAAAAUAGAAAUUAUUGCUAGAAGGUUCCCUUGCAGUGGAUAUCGGGGAUUCAAUCUGUUAGUAUCCAGAAACUAGUUUUUCUGUUACUUUUGUGAAACCACUCAAGAUCUCUGUUUAACAAGCCUCCCAAAGAUCUUUUUUCAAUAUGUUUAUAUGUCUUGGGGAUUACAGCACUUGUGGGUUUCAGCAGAACUCUUUUUGCAGAGGUCUGGUGGUGUAGGAAAAGGGCUGUAGACUAGGAUCUGGGAGACAGACAUGUCUAUGUUGAGACCUGCCUCUGGAGCACUGGCCACCCUCUCCAAGCUGCUGCAGUUCUCUGAGAUCCAACUGUCUCCCCUGUUACAUAAUCACCACAGUUAAAAUAUCAAAGUUUAUAUCAACCCCAAAAGUUACCUCCUGCUUCUUUGUAAUCUUUGCCUCCAUCCACCCUUAUUCCUAGGCAACCACUGAUCUGUUUUAUGUCAAUACAGAUCAUUUUGCAUUCUCUCUAAUUUCAUAUACAUUGCAUCAUACUUUAUGCACUCUUUUAUCUGGAUACUUUCACUUAACAUAAUUAUUUUCACAUGCAUUCAUGUUGUUGUGUGCAACAACAGUUUAUUAGUUUUCAUUGCUGAAUAGUAUUCCAUUGUGUGGAUAUACCACAUUUGUUUAGCCACUCAUCUGUGAAUAGACAUUCGGGUUGUUUCCAGUUACUUGGUUAUUUCAA
RNAcentral lists this long non-coding RNA (2469 nucleotides) under Homo sapiens (human). RNAcentral describes it as "HSALNT0314846". Lineage: Eukaryota; Metazoa; Chordata; Mammalia; Primates; Hominidae. The record is from RNAcentral.